This 1331-nucleotide ribosomal RNA is filed under the name Salmonella enterica subsp. enterica serovar Hvittingfoss. Its description in RNAcentral is "partial 23S ribosomal RNA". It matches the Rfam family "Bacterial large subunit ribosomal RNA", at positions 467 to 1791 of the family's 2925-position model. Lineage: Bacteria; Pseudomonadati; Pseudomonadota; Gammaproteobacteria; Enterobacterales; Enterobacteriaceae. The record is from RNAcentral.
UAAAUACUCCUGACUGACCGAUAGUGAACCAGUACCGUGAGGGAAAGGCGAAAAGAACCCCGGCGAGGGGAGUGAAAAAGAACCUGAAACCGUGUACGUACAAGCAGUGGGAGCACCCUUUGGGGUGUGACUGCGUACCUUUUGUAUAAUGGGUCAGCGACUUAUAUUCUGUAGCAAGGUUAACCGAAUAGGGGAGCCGGAGGGAAACCGAGUCUUAAUUGGGCGUUAAGUUGCAGGGUAUAGACCCGAAACCCGGUGAUCUAGCCAUGGGCAGGUUGAAGGUUGGGUAACACUAACUGGAGGACCGAACCGACUAAUGUUGAAAAAUUAGCGGAUGACCUGUGGCUGGGGGUGAAAGGCCAAUCAAACCGGGAGAUAGCUGGUUCUCCCCGAAAGCUAUUUAGGUAGCGCCUCGUGAAUUCAUCUCCGGGGGUAGAGCACUGUUUCGGCUAGGGGGCCAUCCCGGCUUACCAACCCGAUGCAAACUGCGAAUACCGGAGAAUGUUAUCACGGGAGACACACGGCGGGUGCUAACGUCCGUCGUGAAGAGGGAAACAACCCAGACCGCCAGCUAAGGUCCCAAAGUCAUGGUUAAGUGGGAAACGAUGUGGGAAGGCCCAGACAGCCAGGAUGUUGGCUUAGAAGCAGCCAUCAUUUAAAGAAAGCGUAAUAGCUCACUGGUCGAGUCGGCCUGCGCGGAAGAUGUAACGGGGCUAAACCAUGCACCGAAGCUGCGGCAGCGACGCUGAUGCGUUGUUGGGUAGGGGAGCGUUCUGUAAGCCUGUGAAGGUGUGUCGUGAGGCAUGCUGGAGGUAUCAGAAGUGCGAAUGCUGACAUAAGUAACGAUAAAGCGGGUGAAAAGCCCGCUCGCCGGAAGACCAAGGGUUCCUGUCCAACGUUAAUCGGGGCAGGGUGAGUCGACCCCUAAGGCGAGGCCGAAAGGCGUAGUCGAUGGGAAACGGGUUAAUAUUCCCGUACUUGGUGUUACUGCGAAGGGGGGACGGAGAAGGCUAUGUUGGCCGGGCGACGGUUGUCCCGGUUUAAGCGUGUAGGUGUGUGUUCCAGGUAAAUCCGGUUCACUUUAACACUGAGGCGUGACGACGAGGCACUACGGUGCUGAAGCAACAAAUGCCCUGCUUCCAGGAAAAGCCUCUAAGCAUCAGGUAACAUCAAAUCGUACCCCAAACCGACACAGGUGGUCAGGUAGAGAAUACCAAGGCGCUUGAGAGAACUCGGGUGAAGGAACUAGGCAAAAUGGUGCCGUAACUUCGGGAGAAGGCACGCUGACACGUAGGUGAAGUGAUUUACUCAUGGAGCUGAAGUCAGUCGAA